This 406-nucleotide ribosomal RNA is filed under the name uncultured bacterium. RNAcentral's name for it is "partial 16S ribosomal RNA". It matches the Rfam family "Bacterial small subunit ribosomal RNA", at positions 29 to 526 of the family's 1533-position model. The record is from RNAcentral.
AUUGAACGCUGGCGGCAGGCCUAACACAUGCAAGUCGAGCGAGCGGCGGACGGGUGAGUAAUGUCUGGGAAACUGCCUGAUGGAGGGGGAUAACUACUGGAAACGGUAGCUAAUACCGCAUACCAUCAGAUGGGCCCAGAUGGGAUUAGCUAGUAGGUGGGGUAACGGCUAACCUAGGCGACGAUCCCUCGCUGGUCUGAGAGGAUGACCAGCCACACUGGAACUGGGACCCGGUCCAGACUCCUACGGGAGGCAGCGUGGGGGAAUAUUGCACAAGGUGGGCAAGCCUGAUGCAGCCAUCCCGCGGGUGUGAAGAAGGCCUUCGGGUUUUAAAGCACUUUCAGCGGGGAGGCGUUACCCGCAGAAGAAGCACCGGCUAACUCCGUGCCAGCAGCCGCGGUAAUAC